This 76-nucleotide transfer RNA is filed under the name Rhodocyclaceae bacterium. RNAcentral describes it as "tRNA-Thr". It matches the Rfam family "tRNA". From Rfam's summary of the family: Transfer RNA (tRNA) molecules are approximately 80 nucleotides in length. Their secondary structure includes four short double-helical elements and three loops (D, anti-codon, and T loops). Further hydrogen bonds mediate the characteristic L-shaped molecular structure. tRNAs have two regions of fundamental functional importance: the anti-codon, which is responsible for specific mRNA codon recognition, and the 3' end, to which the tRNAs corresponding amino acid is attached (by aminoacyl-tRNA synthetases). tRNAs cope with the degeneracy of the genetic code in two manners: having more than one tRNA (with a specific anti-codon) for a particular amino acid; and 'wobble' base-pairing, i.e. permitting non-standard base-pairing at the 3rd anti-codon position. RNAcentral also lists the same sequence under 3 other names. The record is from RNAcentral. Lineage: Bacteria; Pseudomonadati; Pseudomonadota; Betaproteobacteria; Rhodocyclales; Rhodocyclaceae.
GCUGUUGUAGCUCAGUUGGUAGAGCAACUGAUUCGUAAUCAGUAGGUCACCAGUUCGAUUCCGGUCAACAGCACCA